AUUGAACGCUGGCGGCAGGCCUAACACAUGCAAGUCGAGCGGAUGAAGGGAGCUUGCUCCUGGAUUCAGCGGCGGACGGGUGAGUAAUGCCUAGGAAUCUGCCUGUUAGUGGGGGAUAACGUCCGGAAACGGGCGCUAAUACCGCAUACGUCCUGAGGGAGAAAGUGGGGGAUCUUCGGACCUCACGCUAUCAGAUGAGCCUAUGUCGGAUUAGCUAGUUGGUGGGGUAAAGGCCUACCAAGGCGACGAUCCGUAACUGGUCUGAGAGGAUGAUCAGUCACACUGGAACUGAGACACGGUCCAGACUCCUACGGGAGGCAGCAGUGGGGAAUAUUGGGCAAUGGGCGAAAGCCUGAUCCAGCCAUGCCGCGUGUGUGAAGAAGGUCUUCGGAUUGUAAAGCACUUUAAGUUGGGAGGAAGGGCAGUAAGUUAAUACCUUGCUGUUUUGACGUUACCAACAGAAUAAGCACCGGCUAACUUCGUG
This 484-nucleotide ribosomal RNA is filed under the name uncultured bacterium. RNAcentral describes it as "partial 16S ribosomal RNA". It matches the Rfam family "Bacterial small subunit ribosomal RNA", at positions 30 to 507 of the family's 1533-position model. The record is from RNAcentral.